GACGAACCGUGCGAACGUUGUUCGGAAUCACUGGGCUUAAAGGGCGCGUAGGCGGGCUAUCAAGUCCGGGGUGAAAUCCUCCCGCUCAACGGGAGAACGGCCUCGGAUACUGAUGGCCUCGAGGGGGAUAGGGGCACACGGAACUGUGGGUGGAGCGGUGAAAUGCGUUGAUAUCCAUAGGAACUCCGGUGGCGAAAGCGGUGUGCUGGAUCCCUUCUGACGCUGAGGCGCGAAAGCCAGGGGAGCAAACGGG
This 253-nucleotide ribosomal RNA is filed under the name uncultured bacterium. RNAcentral's name for it is "partial 16S ribosomal RNA". It matches the Rfam family "Bacterial small subunit ribosomal RNA", at positions 524 to 776 of the family's 1533-position model. The record is from RNAcentral.